UACAGAGGAUGCAAGCGUUAUCCGGAAUGAUUGGGCGUAAAGAGCGUGUAGGCGGCCCGGUAAGUCCGCUGUGAAAGUCGGGGGCUCAACCCUCGAAUGCCGGUGGAUACUGUCGGGCUAGAGUGCGGAAGAGGCGAGUGGAAUUCCUGGUGUAGCGGUGAAAUGCGCAGAUAUCAGGAGGAACACCGAUUGCGAAGGCAGCUCGCUGGGACGUAACUGACGCUGAGACGCGAAAGCGUGGGGAGCAAACAGG
RNAcentral lists this ribosomal RNA (253 nucleotides) under uncultured bacterium. RNAcentral's name for it is "partial 16S ribosomal RNA". It matches the Rfam family "Bacterial small subunit ribosomal RNA", at positions 524 to 776 of the family's 1533-position model. The record is from RNAcentral.